This 201-nucleotide unclassified non-coding RNA is filed under the name soil metagenome. Its description in RNAcentral is "partial internal transcribed spacer 1". The record is from RNAcentral.
CCGAGUUUACAACUCCCAAACCCAAUGUGAACGUUACCAAACUGUUGCCUCGGCGGGAUCUCUGCCCCGGGUCGCGUCGCAGCCCCGGACCAAGGCGCCCGCCGGAGGACCAACCAAAACUCUUAUUGUAUACCCCCUCGCGGGUUUUUUUAUAAUCUGAGCCUUCUCGGCGCCUCUCGUAGGCGUUUCGAAAAUGAAUCA